UGCCCACUUCCCAGGCUGGCUGCUGGCUCCCCAGCUGGGCAGAGGGGUGGAGGCCCUGUCUCCCAGGGGUCAGGCCAGGGACUGGCUUGUACUGCAAAGGGCCAGCUCCCCAAGCUUCACCACUUCCCCUGGGACUUGGCAAGCCUGGGAUGUGCGACAUUGAGUAGAGAGGAAGUGAUGGCUGCUGUGCCCGGCAAGAAAGCAGGGACGGCGACUCUCCCAUGUCCUCUCAUCUGCAGGUCCAGGGAGGCCGCCUGGCCGGCAGGGAGGCUGGAGCAGGCGAGCACCACUUCUGGUGACCUCAGCAAGCUCCUGGACCCCUAAGCUUUGGCCUCCUGUCUGCAGAGCGAAGACAGGAAGUGCACCCACUUUGAAGGACAUCACGAGGACUAGAAAACAUUUCCACAGUGCCGGUGCUUGAUCAGCGCUCAAGAAACGUUUUUCAAAAAGUAGGCAUUUUUGCCUCUGUUGGAGGAGUACACUGAGGCUUAGAGAGGGAAAGCACCUGGUUCAAGAGGCUUCAGGAGGACGGCGGUCUCACCCUGACUUGGAGAAGCAAAAAGGAGGCAGUGGAAGAGGCCCUUCCAGAGAGGACAAUGGGAAGAGCAGCGCCUGUUGGUCACCGGUCACGUCUCAGCAGACCUGCCAGAUGCAGAUUCCAGCACCUGCAGAGCCCAUCCUGGGCGUAGUUGCUGGGUCAGGUGCCUGAGGGCCCGUCCAGUGUCACUGGCACCGCCUUGUGUGGCAGAAAACAUGGAGCCUUUGAACUCCCUCCUCUGAGAUCCUCCCCAGACCCUGCCAAGAUCAGCGUGCACCUGACCGAGGAGCCAAACCCUGGGGCCAGGGUCGUCAAUUUGCUGGGAAUCCUCCUGCCUGUGCCUCUCCAGCCAGGGCUGGGAACACACCAACGACACCAACCCUGGGGCUGGAGGCCACCGUCUGGUUUCCCAGGCUCCCUGAGGUGGUUCUGUGGGCAGUUCUAGCCAGUCCCUUGGUGCUGAAAUAUGGGCAUCUAUGGACAUGUAUGGUCUCUGCCUUCUCUAUGUCUGCUGCCAGUCCUGCCUUGGCACUGCCAUCUUGAGCCUGAGUGAUAGCAGCUGUGUCUGGCUGCUCUUCCAGACCCUACUGGGACCCCACUGUGGCCCGGGUCAGUUCAAAAUGAAAACAUGGGCGUAAGCCUCUCCUGCCCAGUGCUGACUGGGGCCUGGCCAAGCUUGUAGGGUAGCCCUGGGCCUUGUGCCAUCUGGCCCGCCUCCUUUGCAUCCUUCCCAGUCCCAGGUCCUUAAACCCACAGGCCUCUGGCAACAGUCACAGUGCUGAAAAUGCUUCCCCUGCCCCCACCAUUGCCUGAUAAACGCCUCUUCCCCUCAGCCCUCCCCGGCCUCUCCCACCUCCUGCCAUACUGAACUUCUCUAUCCCACACCAAGCAGUCUGUAAUACUCAAAUAUCUCAGUGAUUUAAAAAAUGAAAACCUGUCUUCUGCCCUCAGUAGAGGAUCCCUACAGGCAGGAAGCAUCUCUUAUUCAUCCUUUCUCACCGGAACCUGCGUACACAGUAGGAGUCCAGAAAACGCACCUGUUCCGUGAGCAAGUGAGGUGAUCUCUGACCUCAGCCAGAGGGAGCCAGGGCCCUAAGGGCUCUGAGUACAGCCACAGGCCCGGAGCUGGGCGUCCGUGGAGGAGGUUUGGCCAAAGGGCCGAGUGGGGCAGCCUGGUGAGAGAGCCCCAACUGUUUGAAGAGAAAAGGAAACAUGGUGGUGCGGGGGUUGGGGCGUCGCCUUGGGGCUGUGGACAGCCCUCCUAAGCGCCACGCUACCCUCAGAGCCAGAACCAGAGCAGAAGGAAAUAAGUGUCCCUUGGGCUACGAGGGAUGGUUAGGGGGCAGCAGUGGGAGCCCCAAUCCCAGUAGCCCCAUCUUGGGCCACAUGCCUGCCCUGUACCAGGCCUCUAUCUGGCCCAGACAGGGUGGCUCCUGGCCUCCAGACCCCAUUCCAGCAGCCCCAGCCUUGCCCGAGGAAUUAAGCUCUGCUUACCCCUCUGGCCCUCCAAAGGCAAAUGCUGGCAGGCUGUGCCAUCGCUGGGCUGUGGAGAUGCCCAGAUCUGCACGGACCUUGGGUUUCCUCGGCCAGUCACUCCUGGCACUGAGUCAUGUGGCGAGGACUCAGACGCCACCCACCUGCCCACUUGCCUGCCAGGAACGCACUGAGGCUAUUAACAGGCUGAGUGGUGGCCACAGAAGGGCUUUAUUUUCAAAUAAACAGGCGGAAGCACUGUUAUUUCUGUCAAUAAUCACUCGGUUCUUCCCAGCGACUUGGCAAGGAAGAAGUCAUACACUGUACAAAAGUACAUUUAUUUUUACAGGCUUAAAAAAAGUCCACCUCAAGCUAUUUUAAGUCACCCUAACCUCCACUUUCAAUAUUUUCCCCGACUGGACUUUGGAAGUUCCAGUUCCUCUCCCCUUCGCGCCCUGCUCUCUAGGUGCUCCCUUCCUGGCCAAGUGUGGGGGUACUGCCCAGAGCUGGGGUGGGGGCAAUUGGAGGGUGGUCUGGAGCGAUGCUGGGGGCACUGAGCGCUGCCCCUCACCCUUCAGCACAGGGGGCUCCAGCACUCAGGCCUAACACCCUGCCCCAGGGCCCACAGCUUCUUGGGGGCUCUGUCCAUCCUUUGGGGGUAGCUGGAUCUCCUCAUCUCCAGGGUUGGUCUAUUCCUUCCCCAACGCCUGUCUUGAGAGCCCAGCCAGCUCUCCUCUCCCAGCUCCCCAGGCUUCCUGUUUCCCGAGGGUCUCCUCAACCCAGGAGGUACUCGGUAAGUCUUUCUGGGGUGACUCAGGGGACGAGUGGGAGGAUACACUUCUGCCUUCCCUCCCUGCCAGCCACCGGCAGCCCAGCCCUGUCCCUCCUUCCUUCAACCGCAGUCACUCUCAGAUCUUCCUGACUCCUCAUUUUCCGAUGGCGAGCAGAAGUCCUGAGUCCUUAUCUUUUCAGAUGGGAUCCCCCAGCCUCGCCCCUUCUGGUAGUGACACACUGUCCUCAUUUUUCCUGGCAUGAGUAGACCUGCGUGUCCCAGAUGGCCCUGCACCAGACUGUCCCCACCAGCUCUGCAAGACCCACUGCAACCAAAGGUCAAGGGGUUUGGAAACGCGCCACAUUCCACCCGCCUUGGGAAGCCACGAUAUCACUGAGGGCCCAGGGAGCCCCACGGUAGAGACGUUGGCUUAACUGUUUAACCCAGUAUGCAGCCAAAUUCUCGGACAUCAG
Molecule: long non-coding RNA, 3256 nt
Organism: Cercocebus atys (sooty mangabey)
Lineage: Eukaryota; Metazoa; Chordata; Mammalia; Primates; Cercopithecidae
Exons: 3
Source: RefSeq, a predicted model, not a curated record